UCAAUGUAAUGAUUAGGAAAUGAUUUGGAAAAAUUUAGAAACGCUUUUUCAUAAUUUGGAAACAAAUAGUUAUUCAGUAAUUAAUAAAAAAACUGUUGGACCGUAUACUUGGCAAACAUUAACCGAAAUUAAUAAAAUUUCACUUUAAUUGAUGUAGGACAAUUUGGAAAUAAUAGUGAGAAUGUUUUUUCCAUUUGGAAAUGUAAUAUUGCAUCGAAAAUUAAUAAAAAAGGAAUGAAGUUAUUAUUGUUCAGGAGUCACGUGACCGAGUCUUCCCCUUCCCAUCACUUACUCCAUUUACGUAUAAAAAAAGUGAGGUUAUGUCCCUCUCGCGGACUUGAAUGUUCCCCUGUAACGUACCUUCAAACAAUCUCCUGAAAAUUAUGAGUAAGUGGUUGAAUGAAAAAUUGACGACAUUUAAAAACAAAAUCACUGGACCCCUGAUAAAACAUGAAAGGAUUUAUAGAGAGGCAGACAGUGUCGGAGUGUUUCGUUGCUGAAAUCUCUAAGCAUCAGAAGCCCAAAGCCCCCAGGAAAGGAAAAUCCAUGGAGAUGAAAUACUAAAAAAAACCCUCCCAAUUCCCUAAAAUCAAAACUAAAAAAGCUGGCGAAAUCUCCGAAAAAUGAAGACAGAUAACAGAUAACUGGCAGGAGACGUUCGAGCUCUCCAGUGGACGAAAUGGGCUGCCACAAAAGUGGUCGGACGAAAAAGCGAGUCUUUCAGAUUUUCGAUUCCAGUUGCUGCUAGAUCUUGUGUUGAUCAGUCAAACAAAGGAUUAGCCCGAAGUCCAGUAUAUUAAGAAAAAUCUCUAAAGUCGAAUUAGCUGAAAACACUCGAGGUUCACUGAGAAUUGAAGUUUUUGUAGCCAAUAGUUCGGGGGUCCAAGUUUUCACACAAAAAUCACCUGAGAGAAUGCCGAGAUUGAACUCCGCCUCUCAGGAGCUUCAGAGGGAAACGAAGAGUUUUGAGAAUGCCCAUGGCUCCAAGAGCUGACAAAAAAUGCAGUCAUCCACAACGCCCUCCCCAUCGGGGGAGAGUAUUGAUGGUCAUAGGAUGAGUGGAGUUGGAGUAAAACAAAUAACAGCAGACAAAAAAUUGACGAAGAAGGCGCAGUUUAAGCAGGAGAGACCUAUGAACAAAAUCAAGGGUCAGACCAAAAAGAAACUAACAAUAGAAAUUAAUAGAAAAAUCUGUACUUUAUUUUGUAAAUAAAAUCAUUUCAUAUCAA
Molecule: long non-coding RNA, 1229 nt
Organism: Diachasma alloeum
Lineage: Eukaryota; Metazoa; Arthropoda; Insecta; Hymenoptera; Braconidae
Exons: 3
Source: RefSeq, a predicted model, not a curated record